UACGGAGGAUGCGAGCGUUAUCCGGAUUUAUUGGGUUUAAAGGGUGCGUAGGCGGACGCUUAAGUCAGCGGUAAAAUUGCGGGGCUCAACCUCGUCGAGCCGUUGAAACUGGGUGCCUUGAGUGGGCGAGAAGUACGCGGAAUGCGUGGUGUAGCGGUGAAAUGCAUAGAUAUCACGCAGAACUCCGAUUGCGAAGGCAGCGUACCGGCGCCCAACUGACGCUGAAGCACGGAGGCGUGGGUAUCGAACAGG
Molecule: ribosomal RNA, 252 nt
Filed under: uncultured bacterium
Lineage: Bacteria
Description: partial 16S ribosomal RNA
Rfam family: Bacterial small subunit ribosomal RNA
Source: RNAcentral